Molecule: long non-coding RNA, 374 nt
Filed under: Homo sapiens (human)
Lineage: Eukaryota; Metazoa; Chordata; Mammalia; Primates; Hominidae
Description: HSALNT0214105
Source: RNAcentral
UUGGGCGGCACAAGGCUGAGAGAAAAAGAAGUUGUUCCCGGGCAGUAGGUCAGUGCCAUUUUGUGGAGUGUCUGAUGAGCAGAAUGGAUGCUUGGACAGUUAACUUACCAUAAACUUGCAGCAAUUGAAGGUACUGAGGUGGAGAAUUACUUCUAGUGCCCAAUAAGUGACCAUUCAAGGGAAGAUGGGAGAGGCUGAAACUUCAUGGGACACACCGAUGAUAGUAAUGUAAGCAAAUAUUUACAUAGUGCAAAUGCUCUAACAUGUUCAGUGUUGCUUGGGUUAGCAAACCCCAAUAAAUCAAUGGCUGACAUUGUCUCAGUUGGAGCCAAUUGACUAGCAACAGUCAGUUUGGGGACCCAGAAUACACAGAC